This 119-nucleotide ribosomal RNA is filed under the name Pteropus alecto (black flying fox). Lineage: Eukaryota; Metazoa; Chordata; Mammalia; Chiroptera; Pteropodidae. The record is from RNAcentral.
GUCUACAUCCAUGCCACCCUGAACGUGCCCGAUCUCGUCAGAUCUCUGAAGCUAAGCAGGGUCGGGCCUGGUUAGUACUUGUAAGGGAGACCACUUAGGAAUACCAGGUGCUGUAGGUG